UUGCAGCCACCGGGUCAAUCCACCUCACUGAGGGUCUUCCUCUUUUCCGCUGACCCUGUGCUCUGCCAAGCAUGAUGUCCUUCUCCAGGGACUGAUCCCUCCUGACAACAUGUCCAAGUGAUCAUCUUGAGAAGAGGAGCCUCAGACCCAGACACUGUCAGGGCAGGUCAGCCCUUGAGAUCAACCAUCGCCUCUGCUAAGUCCACUCAUCUAGAGCCUUGGAAACCCUGUGGAAUGACAGCUACUAGAUGACAAAGGUUUCUGAAGUUGUGUCCACAGUGCAAUCCUGGCACCUACGACAGUGUCCACACAUAGUAGGUGAUCAAUAAUACUUGCUGAAGGUGUCUAAGAAUAAAUGACUUCACUCCUUUAAUCAAAACCGUAUGUGAAA
Loxodonta africana (African savanna elephant) is the source of this 391-nucleotide long non-coding RNA. RefSeq lists it as uncharacterized. The transcript is spliced from 3 exons. The record is from RefSeq and is a predicted model, not a curated record. NCBI's taxonomy places the organism in Eukaryota, Metazoa, Chordata, Mammalia, Proboscidea, Elephantidae.